AACGAACGCUGGCGGCAUGCCUAACACACGCAAGUCGAACGAAGUCUUCGGACUUAGUGGCGCACGGGUGCGUAACGCGUGGGAAUCUGCCCUUGGGUGCGGAAUAACUUCUCGAAAGGGAUGCUAAUACCGCAUAAUGUCGUAAGACCAAAGAUUUAUCGCCCAAGGAUGAGCCCGCGUAAGAUUAGCUAGUUGGUGGGGUAAAAGCCUACCAAGGCGACGAUCUUUAGCUGGUCUGAGAGGAUGAUCAGCCACACUGGGACUGAGACACGGCCCAGACUCCUACGGGAGGCAGCAGUGGGGAAUAUUGGACAAUGGGCGAAAGCCUGAUCCAGCAAUGCCGCGUGAGUGAUGAAGGCCCUAGGGUUGUAAAGCUCUUUUACCAGGGAUGAUAAUGACAGUACCUGGAGAAUAAGCUCCGGCUAACUCCGUGCCAGCAGCCGCGGUAAU
Molecule: ribosomal RNA, 450 nt
Filed under: uncultured bacterium
Lineage: Bacteria
Description: bacterial SSU rRNA
Rfam family: Bacterial small subunit ribosomal RNA
Source: RNAcentral